This is a long non-coding RNA of Panicum hallii, 1149 nucleotides long. RefSeq lists it as uncharacterized. The record is from RefSeq and is a predicted model, not a curated record. The transcript is spliced from 3 exons. NCBI's taxonomy places the organism in Eukaryota, Viridiplantae, Streptophyta, Magnoliopsida, Poales, Poaceae.
GCCACGACAACCCAACUCAGUCCAAACCAUGAAAUUGCCAGGCCCAAUUUUGAUCAACGGCGGCGGCGGCGCUCCAACCCUCCAAGCCCUCCCUACUCCGCCGCCGCAUCUCCCACACCACCGAGGAGCCACGAUAGAGCUCCCGGGGGCGGCCGCACUCCCGUGCCUGGCGGCGUUCUUUACUCCCUUUCCCUUUCUCUAUUCCAUCCCCUUCCUCUCUGGCAAGGAGCUGUCCUCCUCCACCAUUCCCUUUCAGAUCCGGAGGGGGCGGCGUCUCCGACGAGCUCCUCGAGCUCCGGCCCAUGGGGAGCAGCGGUGGGGCAUGGACAGCGCGGUUAGCGGCACGACGGCGGCCUAGGCGAGCACCGUCUACGGGCGCGACGGCGGAGGACGAGCUCAGCUGCCGCGUCGCACCUCCCUGUUAGAGGUUGAGCUCCAUGGCUGCCUCGGCCCCUUCCCGGCUUUUGUGGCGCCGUUGCUUGCCUCCUCAUCUCUGGACCCGGCAUGAGUGGUGAGGGGUUGGACUGGAGGUAGCAGGCACACGCACUGAAUGGCCAGAGACCUAGUUCUACAGAUCUGUGCGACUGGAUAAUCUCAGCAUGUUGUCUUGGAAUCAACAAGUGAGUAAGCGACGGCGUUGCAGUAGAUGGCCGCUGCAGCUAUGCUCUCGAUAGUGGACCAGUAAGGCAGCAAUCAGCAGUGGAAACCAUUCAUCUACGUGGCGGUGCCAGUUGCUUUUGAAAACAGAAUAGCAGUAGGUAAUUUCAUCUUUUGAAGUGUUGUGCCUUCGCAUACACUUAGUAGGUUGGUAGGAGAUACAUUUGGGAUGGCACGUGACAGUUGGGUUCAUGCGAAACAUUUGGACAUAAUCUAUGUAUAUGCUGUAUGCAUGGUUCUUACGGCCGUAAGGCGAGGCGUGGCGAGUCACCACCGCCCAACCGCCUAGGCGGGCUAAGGCGAUGCCUUAGGCCAAAACAAGGGGAGUGCCUUGUCGCCUAGGCAACGCCAUCAAAACCAUGGCUGUAUGUAAUGGUCGACCUCUGAUGUCUUGAUAGUUCAGCUAUAAUUGUAUGAUAAGCUGCACAAUGUGUCACAAAUGGACCAUUUUGUGCACGAUUCAGAUUUAAUUUGAAUUUUGUUUCUUGAAAA